This 1435-nucleotide ribosomal RNA is filed under the name uncultured organism. RNAcentral describes it as "16S ribosomal RNA". It matches the Rfam family "Bacterial small subunit ribosomal RNA". The record is from RNAcentral.
AGGAUGAACGCUAGCUACAGGCUUAACACAUGCAAGUCGAGGGGCAGCAUGGUCUUAGCUUGCUAAGGCCGAUGGCGACCGGCGCACGGGUGAGUAACACGUAUCCAACCUGCCGUCUACUCUUGGACAGCCUUCUGAAAGGAAGAUUAAUACAAGAUGGCAUCAUGAGUCCGCAUGUUCACAUGAUUAAAGGUAUUCCGGUAGACGAUGGGGAUGCGUUCCAUUAGAUAGUAGGCGGGGUAACGGCCCACCUAGUCUUCGAUGGAUAGGGGUUCUGAGAGGAAGGUCCCCCACAUUGGAACUGAGACACGGUCCAAACUCCUACGGGAGGCAGCAGUGAGGAAUAUUGGUCAAUGGGCGAGAGCCUGAACCAGCCAAGUAGCGUGAAGGAUGACUGCCCUAUGGGUUGUAAACUUCUUUUAUAAAGGAAUAAAGUCGGGUAUGGAUACCCGUUUGCAUGUACUUUAUGAAUAAGGAUCGGCUAACUCCGUGCCAGCGUCCGCGGCAAUACGGAGGAUCCGAGCGUUAUCCGGAUUUAUUGGGUUUAACGGGAGCGUACAUGGAUGUUUAAGUCAGUUGUGAAAGUUUGCGGCUCAACCGUAAAAAUUGCAGUUGAUACUGGAUAUCUUGAGUGCAGUUGAGGCAGGCGGAAUUCGUGGUGUAGCGGUGAAAUGCUUAGAUAUCACGAAGAACUCCGAUUGCGAAGGCAGCCUGCUAAGCUGCAACUGACAUUGAGGCUCGAAAGUGUGGGUAUCAAACAGGAUUAGAUACCCUGGUAGUCCACACGGUAAACGAUGAAUACUCGCUGUUUGCGAUAUACUGCAAGCGGCCAAGCGAAAGCGUUAAGUAUUCCACCUGGGGAGUACGCCGGCAACGGUGAAACUCAAAGGAAUUGACGGGGGCCCGCACAAGCGGAGGAACAUGUGGUUUAAUUCGAUGAUACGCGAGGAACCUUACCCGGGCUUAAAUUGCAGAUGAAUUACGGUGAAAGCCGUAAGCCGCAAGGCAUCUGUGAAGGUGCUGCAUGGUUGUCGUCAGCUCGUGCCGUGAGGUGUCGGCUUAAGUGCCAUAACGAGCGCAACCCUUGUUGUCAGUUACUAACAGGUUCCGCUGAGGACUCUGACAAGACUGCCAUCGUAAGAUGUGAGGAAGGUGGGGAUGACGUCAAAUCAGCACGGCCCUUACGUCCGGGGCUACACACGUGUUACAAUGGGGGGUACAGAGGGCCGCUACCACGCGAGUGGAUGUCAAUCCCCAAAACCUCUCUCAGUUCGGACUGGAGUCUGCAACCCGACUCCACGAAGCUGGAUUCGCUAGUAAUCGCGCAUCAGCCACGGCGCGGUGAAUACGUUCCCGGGCCUUGUACACACCGCCCGUCAAGCCAUGGGAGCCGGGGGUACCUGAAGUGCGUAACCGCGAGGAGCGCCCUAGGGUA